UAGUAUCUGCCCUUGGUGGUAAUAACACGAGGAAAGUGUGCAAAUACGGAUAAGUCUUACGGAGAAAGCUGUAUGCACCAUUGGAUGAGCCUGCACUAGAUGAGAUUGACGGGGGAGUAAUGGCCUACCAAGACUGUGAUCAAUAGGUGAUUGGAAAGGAUGAUCAGACAGAUCGUGCCGGGCCCUGGGCCCACACUCAUACGGGAGGCAGCAGUGGGGAAUCUUGCACAAUGGAGGAAACUCUGAUGCAGCGAUGCCGCGUGAGUGAAGAAGGCCCUUGGGUUGUAAAGCUCUUUCGUCGGGGAAGAAAAUGACUGUACCCGAAUAAGAAGGUCCGGCUGACUUCGUGCCAGCAGCCGCGGUAAUACGAAGGGACCUAGCGUAGUUCGGAAUUACUGGGCUUAAAGAGUUCGUAGGUGGUUGAAAAAGUUGGUGGUGAAAU
Molecule: ribosomal RNA, 442 nt
Filed under: uncultured Alphaproteobacteria bacterium
Lineage: Bacteria; Pseudomonadati; Pseudomonadota; Alphaproteobacteria
Description: bacterial SSU rRNA
Rfam family: Bacterial small subunit ribosomal RNA
Source: RNAcentral